UCUCCGGUGGCCUAGUGGUUACAACGUCCACCUCGGAUGCGGGAGGUCGUGGGUUCGAUCCCCGGUCGAAUCA
Potamilus streckersoni is the source of this 73-nucleotide non-coding RNA. The record is from the annotation of a GenBank genome assembly. NCBI's taxonomy places the organism in Eukaryota, Metazoa, Mollusca, Bivalvia, Unionida, Unionidae.